GUGAAUCAUCAAAUUUUUGAACGCAAAUUGCGCUUCUUGGCAUCCCGGGAAGCAUGCCUGUUUGAGGGUCAGUAUUAACCAAAACUCGGGUUGGUUGCAAAUUGUGACGUUUCUGGAGUUUGGGCUAUUUUCACUUUUUUGGUUAAGGGGCUUAAAAUUGACCUUUUUUGCGCAUUUUUAGACGUACAUAAAUUUUUUUUUUAUUCGUUUCUUUUUAAUGCUAAUAUCUU
Molecule: unclassified non-coding RNA, 230 nt
Filed under: Glomeraceae sp.
Lineage: Eukaryota; Fungi; Glomeromycota; Glomeromycetes; Glomerales; Glomeraceae
Description: partial contains 5.8S ribosomal RNA and internal transcribed spacer 2
Rfam family: 5.8S ribosomal RNA (bases 1-71)
Source: RNAcentral